RNAcentral lists this ribosomal RNA (561 nucleotides) under uncultured archaeon. RNAcentral's name for it is "bacterial SSU rRNA". It matches the Rfam family "Archaeal small subunit ribosomal RNA", at positions 259 to 825 of the family's 1478-position model. The record is from RNAcentral.
UACGAUCGGUACGGGUUGUGAGAGCAAUAGCCCGGAGAUGGGUUCUGAGAAAAGAACCCAGGUCCUACGGGACGCAUCAGGCGCGAAAACUUUACAAUGUGCGAAAGCACGAUAAGGGAACUCUGAGUGCCUCCUAAGGAGGCUGUUCAGGUGUCUAAAAAGCACCUGGAGUAAGGGCUGGGUAAGACCGGUGCCAGCCGCCGCGGUAACACCGGCAGCCCAAGUGGUAGCCACUUUUAUUGGGUCUAAAGCGUCCGUAGCCGGUUGAGUAAGUUCCUUGGGAAAUUUGGCUGCUUAACAGUCAAGCUUCCAGGGAAUACUGCUCGACUUGGGACUGGGAGAGGUCAGAGGUACUCCAGGGGUAGGGGUGAAAUCCGUUAAUCCCUGGGGGACCACCAGUAGCGAAGGCGUCUGACCAGACCAGGUCCGACGGUGAGGGACGAAGGCUAGGGUCGCGAACCGGAUUAGAUACCCGGGUAGUCCUAGCAGUAAACGAUGCGGGCUAGGUGUUGGCACUACUGCGAGUGGUGCCAGUGCCGAAGGGAAGCCGUUAAGCCCGCC